AACUAUAUAAGUUUUUAUUUCAAAACCUAUAAAAAAAAUAAAGUGUGUAUGUCAUGAAUCACAAAAUUAGAUAUUGAAUUUCAAAUAAAAUAACUGUUAUCUAAUUACUAUGCAGCAAGUCUGAGACCAUAUUUAAGUAGCUGCAGAAUUUUACAAAGCUUCUUAGGGAAUAUAUUCACAUUGGCAUAUAACCUUAAAAAAAAUGAUCAUGAUAAUUUACAUUGACCAAAGUUUUUAUGAAUCAAUAAAACUUCUGAGAACAAUAAACAUAUCACAGGGAAAUAGUGAGAAUGUACACAUGUGAUGGGAGAUAAUCGUUGUCCACAAGGAACUCUCGAACAAGAUUAGAAGUAAAUGAUCUUAUGUAAACUUAGGGACGUAGUGCUAGAAACUAGUUAUGUAAACUUAGGAAAGUAGUGCUACAAACUAGUUAUGUAAACUUAGGAAAGUAGUGCUACAAACUAGUUAUGUAAACUUAGA
Biomphalaria pfeifferi is the source of this 480-nucleotide non-coding RNA. The record is from the annotation of a GenBank genome assembly. Lineage: Eukaryota; Metazoa; Mollusca; Gastropoda; Planorbidae.